UUAGUGGCGGACGGGUGAGUAACGCGUGGGUAACCUGCCUCACACUGGGGGAUAACAGUUAGAAAUAGCUGCUAAUACCGCAUAAGCGCACGGUUCCGCAUGGAACAGUGUGAAAAACUCCGGUGGUGUGAGAUGGACCCGCGUCUGAUUAGCCAGUUGGCGGGGUAACGGCCCACCAAAGCGACGAUCAGUAGCCGGCCUGAGAGGGUGAACGGCCACAUUGGGACUGAGACACGGCCCAAACUCCUACGGGAGGCAGCAUG
Molecule: ribosomal RNA, 263 nt
Filed under: uncultured bacterium
Lineage: Bacteria
Description: partial 16S ribosomal RNA
Rfam family: Bacterial small subunit ribosomal RNA
Source: RNAcentral